Molecule: ribosomal RNA, 351 nt
Filed under: Pseudarthrobacter sp.
Lineage: Bacteria; Bacillati; Actinomycetota; Actinomycetes; Micrococcales; Micrococcaceae
Description: bacterial SSU rRNA
Rfam family: Bacterial small subunit ribosomal RNA
Source: RNAcentral
GGUGUGGGGGACAUUCCACGUUUUCCGCGCCGUAGCUAACGCAUUAAGUGCCCCGCCNGUGNNAGUACGGCCGCAAGGCUAAAACUCAAAGGAAUUGACGGGGGCCCGCACAAGCGGCGGAGCAUGCGGAUUAAUUCGAUGCAACGCGAAGAACCUUACCAAGGCUUGACAUGAACCGGAAAGACCUGGAAACAGGUGCCCCGCUUGCGGUCGGUUUACAGGUGGUGCAUGGUUGUCGUCAGCUCGUGUCGUGAGAUGUUGGGUUAAGUCCCGCAACGAGCGCAACCCUCGUUCUAUGUUGCCAGCACGUGAUGGUGGGGACUCAUAGGAGACUGCCGGGGUCAACUCGGA